Regulatory RNA element from Photorhabdus luminescens, 126 nucleotides. It matches the Rfam family "Enterobacteria greA leader". The record is from Rfam. Lineage: Bacteria; Pseudomonadati; Pseudomonadota; Gammaproteobacteria; Enterobacterales; Morganellaceae.
ACAAUACUAAGGCGCAAAGUGGGGAAAAGUAAACGAUGACCCAUCACCAAGUCUACGUUAGAAUGAUAUAUUAAUAUGUAAAAUAUGAUUGUGAACUCUGGGUAGUCCUAUGGUUUGCACUAUUGU